RNAcentral lists this ribosomal RNA (395 nucleotides) under uncultured bacterium. Its description in RNAcentral is "bacterial SSU rRNA". It matches the Rfam family "Bacterial small subunit ribosomal RNA", at positions 1001 to 1397 of the family's 1533-position model. The record is from RNAcentral.
UAGAGAUAGGCAUUUCCCUUCGGGGACAGAGUGACAGGUGGUGCAUGGUUGUCGUCAGCUCGUGUCGUGAGAUGUUGGGUUAAGUCCCGCAACGNGCGCAACCCUUGAACUUAGUUGCCAGCAUUUGGUUGGGCACUCUAAGGUGACUGCCGGUGACAAACCGGAGGAAGGUGGGGAUGACGUCAAAUCAUCAUGCCCCUUAUGACCUGGGCUACACACGUGCUACAAUGGGCGGUACAAAGGGCAGCGAAGUCGCGAGAUGGAGCAAAUCCCAUAAAACCGUUCUCAGUUCGGAUUGCAGGCUGCAACUCGCCUGCAUGAAGUCGGAAUCGCUAGUAAUCGCGGAUCAGCAUGCCGCGGUGAAUACGUUCCCGGGCCUUGUACACACCGCCCGU